UAUUAAAUAGGUAAAUGGUAUACCCUAGAAAUUUGAAUUCUGGAUUAAAAGUUCAAAUCUUUUUUUAUUAA
Molecule: transfer RNA, 71 nt
Filed under: Ophioplinthus gelida
Lineage: Eukaryota; Metazoa; Echinodermata; Ophiuroidea; Amphilepidida; Ophiuridae
Description: tRNA-Gln
Rfam family: tRNA
About the family: Transfer RNA (tRNA) molecules are approximately 80 nucleotides in length. Their secondary structure includes four short double-helical elements and three loops (D, anti-codon, and T loops). Further hydrogen bonds mediate the characteristic L-shaped molecular structure. tRNAs have two regions of fundamental functional importance: the anti-codon, which is responsible for specific mRNA codon recognition, and the 3' end, to which the tRNAs corresponding amino acid is attached (by aminoacyl-tRNA synthetases). tRNAs cope with the degeneracy of the genetic code in two manners: having more than one tRNA (with a specific anti-codon) for a particular amino acid; and 'wobble' base-pairing, i.e. permitting non-standard base-pairing at the 3rd anti-codon position.
Source: RNAcentral